CAUUGGUUGCCGCGCUGCGGCAACCUCCGCAUGUCUCCUCCACCCUCCUCCUAAGGUGGAUUAAGCCCGAACCAGCCGUUCGGGCUUUUUUUCG
RNAcentral lists this small RNA (94 nucleotides) under Burkholderia cenocepacia. Its description in RNAcentral is "small toxic RNA 1". The stretch from base 32 to 93 matches the Rfam family "Betaproteobacteria toxic small RNA". From Rfam's summary of the family: Overexpression in amino aid rich medium attenuates growth, suggesting role in repressing amino acid intake and metabolism. The record is from RNAcentral. Lineage: Bacteria; Pseudomonadati; Pseudomonadota; Betaproteobacteria; Burkholderiales; Burkholderiaceae.